GGGGGAGAGGAGGAGAAAUGAUGGAAAAGAAUUUUAAAUUACACUUUGCACCAUUAAAAAGUAGCAACUGAUUAUUUCAAACUCCAACAGCUAAGUCAUUAAAAGCUAAACUUAAUUAUAUUUGCUGUUUUAAUCAACUGAAAUUAAUGCCACUUAGAGCUGUACUGAAUUCUUAGUUUUAUAAACAAAUUCAUAGUUUGCUUAGGUUAAAUUUAACUAAAGACUUCUGAAUUCUAGUAGGUAUUUUCCUUAGUGUUUGCAUUUUUUAAUUUAUGCACAGAACAUCCAGGUAGGUGAGAUUCUGGGGCACUGGAUUACAAGUGGUACAACAGUUCAUUAGGGAGACAAAUGAAAGGAGAGUCUUCUCCAUUAAAUCUUCUCCAGGAUUUGAGUCUGAACAUUUAUUCUUCUAAUAACAACAGCGGCAACUUUUCUCCUGUAUUUCUCAAGGAUGAAAAAUCUUUGUAAGCUGUGACAUGGGUGCUCUUCACAAGGCUUUGUGAAGACGCUAGGACCCAGCUAACACCUGCCAUCCCUCCCUUCCU
This is a non-coding RNA of Ceratotherium simum simum (southern white rhinoceros), 545 nucleotides long. Lineage: Eukaryota; Metazoa; Chordata; Mammalia; Perissodactyla; Rhinocerotidae. The record is from RefSeq and is a predicted model, not a curated record.